Molecule: long non-coding RNA, 467 nt
Filed under: Mytilus galloprovincialis (Mediterranean mussel)
Lineage: Eukaryota; Metazoa; Mollusca; Bivalvia; Mytilida; Mytilidae
Source: RNAcentral
CUUAUUCCUAAACUGUUGGGACCAAAACUCCCAAAAUCAACCCAACCUUCCUUUUAUGGUCAUAAACCUUGUGUUUAAAUUUCAUAGAUUUCUAUUUACUUAUACUUAAGUUAUGGUGCGAAAACCAAGAAUAAUGCUUAUUUGGGCCCUUUUUGGCCCCUAAUUCCUAAACUGUUAGGACCUCAACUCCCAAAAUCAAUCCCAACCUUCCUUUUGUGGUCAUAAACCUUGUGUUUAAAUUUCACUGAUUUCUAUUUACUUAUACUAAAGUUAUUGUGCGAAAACCAAGAAUAAUGCUUAUUUGGGCCCUUUUUUGGCCCCUAAUUCCUAAACUGUUGGAACCAAAACUCCCAAAAUCAAUCCCAACCUUCCUUUUGUGGUCAUAAACCUUGUGUCAAAAUUUCAUAGAUUUCUAUUCACUUAAACUAAAGUUAUAGUGCGAAAACCAAGAAAAUGCUUAUUUGAGC